AGUGGCGCACGGGUGAGUAACACGUGAAUCAUCUACCCUCGAGUGGGGAAUAACCUAGAGAAAUCUGGGCUAAUACCGCAUAACACUUACGAGUCAAAGCAGCAAUGCGCUUGGGGAGGAGUUCGCGGCCGAUUAGUUAGUUGGCGGGGUAAUGGCCCACCAAGACGAUGAUCGGUAUCCGGCCUGAGAGGGCGCACGGACACACUGGAACUGAAACACGGUCCAGACUCCUACGGGAGGCAGCAGUGGGGAAUUUUGCGCAAUGGGGGAAACCCUGACGCAGCAACGCCGCGUGGAGGAUGAAAUCCCUUGGGAUGUAAACUCCUUUCGAUUGGGAAGAUUAUGACGGUACCAAUAGAAGAAGCCCCGGCUAACUUCGUGCCAGCAGCCGCGGUAAUAUGAGGGGGGCAAGCGUUUUCGGAAUUAUUGGGCGUAAAGGGAGCGUAGGCGGUUUGACAAGUCUUAUGUGAAAUCUAUGGGCUCAACCCAUAGUCUGCAUGAGA
This 503-nucleotide ribosomal RNA is filed under the name uncultured bacterium. Its description in RNAcentral is "bacterial SSU rRNA". It matches the Rfam family "Bacterial small subunit ribosomal RNA", at positions 94 to 630 of the family's 1533-position model. The record is from RNAcentral.